GUGCCAGCAGCCGCGGUAAUACCGGCAGCCCGAGUGAUGGCCGAUCUUAUUGGGCCUAAAGCGUCCGUAGCUGGCUGCGCAAGUCCGUCGGGAAAUCCACUCGCCCAACGAGUGGGCGUCCGACGGAAACUGCACAGCUUGGGACCGGAAGGCUCGAAGGGUACGUUCGGGGUAGGAGUGAAAUCCCAUAAUCCCGCACGGACCACCGAUGGCGAAAGCACUUCGAGAAAACGGAUCCGACAGUGAGGGACGAAAGCUAAGAUCGCGAACCAGAUUAGAUACCCUAGUAGUCC
This 293-nucleotide ribosomal RNA is filed under the name uncultured bacterium. RNAcentral's name for it is "partial 16S ribosomal RNA". It matches the Rfam family "Archaeal small subunit ribosomal RNA", at positions 455 to 747 of the family's 1478-position model. The record is from RNAcentral.